RNAcentral lists this long non-coding RNA (337 nucleotides) under Brassica napus (rape). Its description in RNAcentral is "long non-coding RNA (BNAP_LNC013362)". The record is from RNAcentral. Lineage: Eukaryota; Viridiplantae; Streptophyta; Magnoliopsida; Brassicales; Brassicaceae.
UUCAAAAAUACAUUAUUCAUUAAGUGACAAAAGACUCUUAUACCAUUGUUCUCUAUAUAUAUAAUAAAUCAUUAUUUAAAUAAAUAAAUAAAUAAUAAAUAAAUAAUUUUUUAUGUUUUCGAAUUAUACUUUUUCAAAUUUAAACUUUUUAUAAAUUUUCUUUUGAUUUUUUUUUCGAAAUUGUUUUUGAACUUUUUUUCAAAAUUUUUUUUUUGAAAAUCGAAAAUUAUGUUUAAAAGUAUUUUUUUAAAAAACAUUUAUAUAUUUUUAAGUAAUUAUUUAUAUAUUUAUUAGAAUCCUAAAUUUCACAUUCCAAAAAUUCAACCCCACCCCUCAA